UAGUCGCGCCAUUUCACAUUCCAUAUACACUGCUUGUAAAUUGUCCUGCUACGAUUAAAAAUGUUAUUUAUUCUGUUAUUGAUAUCAAAUUAGUGCAAGAAGUUUGUUUUAGCGGUGCAGAGAUAACUUAUAUAUUUGAAACAAGUAAUACAAAU
Ceratosolen solmsi marchali is the source of this 155-nucleotide long non-coding RNA. RefSeq lists it as uncharacterized. Lineage: Eukaryota; Metazoa; Arthropoda; Insecta; Hymenoptera; Agaonidae. The transcript is spliced from 3 exons. The record is from RefSeq and is a predicted model, not a curated record.